Molecule: ribosomal RNA, 854 nt
Filed under: Lactiplantibacillus sp.
Lineage: Bacteria; Bacillati; Bacillota; Bacilli; Lactobacillales; Lactobacillaceae
Description: bacterial SSU rRNA
Rfam family: Bacterial small subunit ribosomal RNA
Source: RNAcentral
CGGCUGGCAAGUCGAACGAACUCUGGUAUUGAUUGGUGCUUGCAUCAUGAUUUACAUUUGAGUGAGUGGCGAACUGGUGAGUAACACGUGGGAAACCUGCCCAGAAGCGGGGGAUAACACCUGGAAACAGAUGCUAAUACCGCAUAACAACUUGGACCGCAUGGUCCGAGUUUGAAAGAUGGCUUCGGCUAUCACUUUUGGAUGGUCCCGCGGCGUAUUAGCUAGAUGGUGGGGUAACGGCUCACCAUGGCAAUGAUACGUAGCCGACCUGAGAGGGUAAUCGGCCACAUUGGGACUGAGACACGGCCCAAACUCCUACGGGAGGCAGCAGUAGGGAAUCUUCCACAAUGGACGAAAGUCUGAUGGAGCAACGCCGCGUGAGUGAAGAAGGGUUUCGGCUCGUAAAACUCUGUUGUUAAAGAAGAACAUAUCUGAGAGUAACUGUUCAGGUAUUGACGGUAUUUAACCAGAAAGCCACGGCUAACUACGUGCCAGCAGCCGCGGUAAUACGUAGGUGGCAAGCGUUGUCCGGAUUUAUUGGGCGUAAAGCGAGCGCAGGCGGUUUUUUAAGUCUGAUGUGAAAGCCUUCGGCUCAACCGAAGAAGUGCAUCGGAAACUGGGAAACUUGAGUGCAGAAGAGGACAGUGGAACUCCAUGUGUAGCGGUGAAAUGCGUAGAUAUAUGGAAGAACACCAGUGGCGAAGGCGGCUGUCUGGUCUGUAACUGACGCUGAGGCUCGAAAGUAUGGGUAGCAAACAGGAUUACAUACUCUGGUAGUCCAUACCGUAAACGAUGAAUGCUAAGUGUUGGAGGGUUUCCGCCCUUCAGUGCUGCAGCUAACGCAUUAAGCAUUC